Molecule: non-coding RNA, 91 nt
Filed under: unclassified sequences
Description: c-di-GMP sequence
Rfam family: c-di-GMP-II-GAG riboswitch aptamer
Source: Rfam by way of RNAcentral
AGCCAAAGGGAGACUGUGAUGCUCCGGGGGAACGCGGUCACCUACACACGUCCCCGGCGUUGAGUCAGUGGUGAGACCGGCCCACAUGGCC